This is an RNA transcript of Glycine soja, 2912 nucleotides long. It is a transcript of the gene named probable 1-deoxy-D-xylulose-5-phosphate synthase, chloroplastic, with no coding region annotated. The record is from RefSeq and is a predicted model, not a curated record. The transcript has 11 exons. Lineage: Eukaryota; Viridiplantae; Streptophyta; Magnoliopsida; Fabales; Fabaceae.
CUUUCAAUUUUCAAUUAUCCCAUAAUAUCAAUUUUUCUUUUUUAAAUAAAUAUUUUUGGUUCAUCAUCAUUCAUGCGAAAUAGCUAAUAGCAGCUCCAACUUCUGGAAUCAUGUGAAUGUUGAAGAUCUCAGUGACAACACUUUCUCCAUGGCUGCUACUACUCCUUCAUCUACAUACCCAUUCGGAACCCCUUUCCACUCGCACACUCGAAGACUUGAUUGCUCAACCUCAACCUCCAUGUUCCCCCUUCAUUCAGACCUAUCUACAAUUUCUAUGUGCCCGCGUUCUGCUUCAAAGGGAUUAGUUGAUCGAGUAUAUGCACAGCUUGAUGGUGAUGAUUACCACAGGGAGAAAGUUCCAACACCCAUUCUUGACAUGGUUGAAAACCCUCUUUGCUUGAAGAACUUAUCUCUUAAGGAACUGAAACAACUAGCAGUUGAAAUCCGUUCAGAUUUGUCUUCUAUUAUGUCAGGUACACAAAUAUCACCGAAAGCAAGUAUGGCAGUGGUGGAGCUGACAGUUGCAAUACAUCAUGUUUUCAAUGCUCCAGUAGACAAGAUAUUGUGGGAUGUUGGGGAUCAAACAUAUGCACAUAAAAUUCUUACAGGAAGGCGAUCACUCAUGACGACAAUGAGAAGAAAGAAUGGUCUUUCUGGUUUUACUUCCCGAUUUGAAAGUGAAUAUGAUGCAUUUGGUGCAGGUCAUGGAUGCAACAGUAUUUCUGCUGGACUUGGCAUGGCAGUUGCACGGGAUAUUAAGGGGAGGCAAGAACGCGUAGUUGCAGUUAUCAGCAAUUGGACAACUAUGGCUGGUCAGGCGUAUGAGGCAAUGAGCAAUGCAGGAUAUUUGGACUCAAAUAUGGUUGUGAUUUUGAAUGAUAGCCGCCACUCUUUACUUCCAAAAAUUGAGGAGGGGCCAAAGACAUCUGUCAAUGCCCUAUCUAGUACCCUGAGCAAGCUCCAGUCCAGUAAAUCUUUCCGGCGAUUUAGAGAAGCUGCUAAGGGUGUCACGAAACGAAUUGGUAGAGGUAUGCAUGAGUUGGCAGCUAAAGUUGAUGAGUAUGCUCGUGGUAUGAUGGGUCCUCUAGGUUCUACUCUUUUUGAAGAGCUUGGGUUGUACUACAUAGGCCCAGUGGAUGGACACAAUAUUGAAGAUCUCAUAUGUGUUCUGCAAGAAGUAGCUUCCCUGGAUUCAAUGGGACCUGUCUUGGUACAUGUGAUAACUGAUGAAAAUCAGGGAGAUGAUAACAGUCAGAAAAGUGAUAUGUCAGAUGAGCAGAAAAAUGAAGGUUUUGUUAAAUCUGAUUUGUUAGAUAAUCCUGUUUGGCCUCAAACAUAUGGCAAUUGCUUUGUGGCGACUUUGGUUGCAGAAGCAGAGAAAGACAAAGAUAUUAUUGUUGUUCAUGCUGGAUUAACGAUGGAGCCAUCACUUGAACUGUUUCAGGAAAAAUUUCCGGAUAGGUUUUUUGAUGUGGGAAUGGCUGAGCAACAUGCAGUCACAUUUGCUUCUGGUUUGGCAUGUGGUGGCUUGAAGCCAUUUUGUGUCAUACCUUCGUCCUUUCUACAAAGAGCCUAUGACCAGGUGGUACAUGAUGUUGAUCAACAGAGAAUUCCAGUGCGUUUUGUUAUUACAAGUGCAGGAUUGGUAGGUUCUGAUGGUCCCCUUCGAUGUGGAGCAUUUGAUAUAAACUUUAUGUCAUGCUUACCAAACAUGAUUGUCAUGGCCCCAUCUGAUGAGCUUGAACUCAUGCACAUGGUGGCUACUGCUACUCGUAUCAAUAAUCAGCCUAUCUGCUUUCGGUAUCCAAGGGGUGCCCUGGUUGGGGAAGGCUACACUAUAGGUGAUGGAAUCCCCAUCAAGAUAGGAAGAGGAAGAGUUCUUGUUGAAGGUAAAGAUGUUGCUUUCCUAGGAUAUGGAUCGAUGGUUCAGAACUGCUUAAAGGCUCAUUCACUCCUUGCAAAGCUUGGCAUUGAGGUCACGGUUGCUGAUGCAAGGUUCUGCAAGCCCCUUGACAUUAUGCUUCUGAGGCAGCUUUGUAAACACCACUCUUUUCUAGUUACUGUUGAGGAAGGAUCUAUUGGAGGAUUUGGUUCCCAUGUUGCUCAGUUUAUUGCAGUUAAUGGACUGCUCGAUGGAAGAAUUAAGUGGCGACCAAUUGUUUUACCAGACAGAUAUAUUGAGCAUGCAUCACCAAAUGAACAGCUUGACCAAGCAGGGUUGAGUGGACAUCACAUUGCUGCCACGGCAUUGAGUUUACUAGGCCGUACCCGUGAAGCUCUCCUAUUUAUGUGUUCGUGACUUGCUUCGUGCCCUUUUCCAGAUACGAUGAAUGGAAGUUGGAUAGCUCCACAGGAAGAAGGAGAACCAACAAAGCAAAGAUAUACGAAAAAUAAGGUUGCAUUUAGCAAAAGUGGCACAGAAAGGAAGAAAAAAAAAAAAGAAAUUCUGAAGCAGGCCCAAUCCAAUAGGGGCGCUAAGCGUGCAUCAGGCACUAAGCGAGCAACUAACUGCAGGCGCUGGACGUGGCGUUAAGCACGAAGGUGAAAACCGUUACGCGCGCUAAGCCCAGCUAGGCGCCUAGCGCCCGAUCCAACAGAAGCACAGGCCCAGCGUGCAUGGCGCGCCCAGCGCACGAUCUGAACGCGCUAAGUGCGAGGUGUGGCGCUGAGCGCGACUACGAAGGCCCAUAAGCCCACUUCAGCAACUAUAAAUAGAGAGGCAGUCCCAAGGAAAUCCCAUCUCAGAGCAUCACUCUCAGUCCCUCAAGCCUGAGUUCUUUUCUCUCUAUAUUCUUUGUUUUGUUAGCCUAUUCUUUCUUUCAUCCCCAGUUGUAAGCCCUCAAUGGCCAUGAGUGGCUAAACCCCUAGCUAGGGCCUGGCAGGCCUAAAAAGCCAACGAUGUACAAUGAGCU